This 444-nucleotide long non-coding RNA is filed under the name Lotus japonicus. RNAcentral's name for it is "long non-coding RNA (LJAP_LNC000963)". Lineage: Eukaryota; Viridiplantae; Streptophyta; Magnoliopsida; Fabales; Fabaceae. The record is from RNAcentral.
AUGGAUGAUGAAUACAGUGAUGCUUCUCUAGAACUAAAUAACCAGGUUCCGGUUGACAGAACUUUGUAUCCCAAAUCUCAUUCUGAGGAAAGGUUAUCUGAUUCAGUCUCAGAUAAAUGUGUUUCUCCCAAGACCAGUGAUGGUGCGCCUGAAAUGAAAAACAAAGUAGUGAUGGCUCCUUCUGUACAUGAUCUGAAUCCUUCUUCCAAAUAUCAAUCCAAAUCUCAUUCUGAGGAAAGGUUAUCUCAUUCAGUUUCAGAUAAAUGUGUUUCUCCCAAGACCAGUGAUGGUGCACCUGAAAUGAAAAACAAAAUAGUGAUGCCUCCUUCUGUACAUGAUCUGAAUCCUUCUUCCAAAUCUCAUUCUGAAGAAAGGUUAUCUGAUUCAGUUUCAGAUAAAUGUGUUUCUCCUAAGACCACUGAUGGUGCGCCAGAAAUGAAAAAC